This 330-nucleotide ribosomal RNA is filed under the name uncultured eukaryote. RNAcentral's name for it is "partial 18S ribosomal RNA". It matches the Rfam family "Eukaryotic small subunit ribosomal RNA", at positions 1470 to 1796 of the family's 1831-position model. The record is from RNAcentral.
CCCUUAGAUGUUCUGGGCCGCGCGCGCGCUACACUGAUGCAUUCAACGAGUCUAAAACCUGGUCUGAUAGGGCUGGGUAAUCUUUUGAAAGUGCAUCGUGAUUGGGAUAGAUGAUUGCAAUUCUUCAUCUUCAACGAGGAAUGCCUAGUAAACGCAAGUCAUCAGCUUGCAUUGAUUACGUCCCUGCCCUUUGUACACACCGCCCGUCGCUCCUACCGAUUGAAUGAUCCGAUGAAUACCAUGGAUUGAGAGUACGAAUGGGUUCGCUCAUUUCUGCUGCUCGAGAAGUGGAGUAAAUCUUAUCAUUUAGAGGAAGGAGAAGUCGUAACA